GCCUGGCUGGCUCAGUCAGUACAGCGUAUGACUCUUGAUCUUGGGGUUGUGAAUUCAAGCCCCACGCUGGGUA
This 73-nucleotide transfer RNA is filed under the name Ailuropoda melanoleuca (giant panda). It matches the Rfam family "tRNA". Rfam says of the family: Transfer RNA (tRNA) molecules are approximately 80 nucleotides in length. Their secondary structure includes four short double-helical elements and three loops (D, anti-codon, and T loops). The record is from Rfam by way of RNAcentral. Lineage: Eukaryota; Metazoa; Chordata; Mammalia; Carnivora; Ursidae.